CCCUUAGAUGUUCUGGGCCGCACGCGUGCUACACUGAGUGGAUCAGCGGGUCAGGUUGCGCGAAAGCGUUUCCUAAUCUUUAAAUCCGCUCGUGAUGGGGAUUGACGGUUGCAAUUUUCUGCCAUGAACGAGGAAUACCUUGUAAGCGCGGGUCAUCAUCCCGCGCUGAAUACGUCCCUGCCCUUUGUACACACCGCCCGUCGCUCCUACCGAUUGAGUGGUCCAGUGAGGCUUUGGGAUCUGAGCGGAAAGAGCGUUUCGCUGUUUCUGCUCGGAAAACUCAGUCGAACCUUAUCAUUUAGAGGAAGGAGAAGUCGUAACA
This 322-nucleotide ribosomal RNA is filed under the name uncultured eukaryote. RNAcentral describes it as "partial 18S ribosomal RNA". It matches the Rfam family "Eukaryotic small subunit ribosomal RNA", at positions 1470 to 1796 of the family's 1831-position model. The record is from RNAcentral.